GAGACAUUAAAAUGAUUUGCACCCAGGUUGAAAGGGCUAGCAAAUGUCUGAGGCAGUACUGGAUCUAUGGGCUUAAUGACUCCAAAUCCACAUGGGCCACAGCAUCACCUGGCUCUCUGAGCAUGGCUUUUGCUCAUAGCUGAACAAAUAAAAACUCACCUAAUUUGGAAUCCACCCAGGUCAGGCAGAGACAAAGCAUCCUCAUUACUUCCUCUCCAGCGUGGCCCAGCACAGGAGCUAAAGCCUUGGGAAGCUGGUAGAACAGGUAUCAUCCCCAUUUGACAAAUCAGCGAACUAAACCUCAGACCAGUGACGA
Long non-coding RNA from Phascolarctos cinereus (koala), 316 nucleotides. RefSeq lists it as uncharacterized. Lineage: Eukaryota; Metazoa; Chordata; Mammalia; Diprotodontia; Phascolarctidae. The record is from RefSeq and is a predicted model, not a curated record.